This 813-nucleotide ribosomal RNA is filed under the name Staphylococcus gallinarum. RNAcentral describes it as "bacterial SSU rRNA". It matches the Rfam family "Bacterial small subunit ribosomal RNA", at positions 46 to 841 of the family's 1533-position model. Lineage: Bacteria; Bacillati; Bacillota; Bacilli; Caryophanales; Staphylococcaceae. The record is from RNAcentral.
GCCUAAUACAUGCAAGUCGAGCGAACAGAUAAGGAGCUUGCUCCUUUGACGUUAGCGGCGGACGGGUGAGUAACACGUGGGUAACCUACCUAUAAGACUGGAAUAACUCCGGGAAACCGGGGCUAAUGCCGGAUAACAUAUAGAACCGCAUGGUUCUAUAGUGAAAGAUGGUUUUGCUAUCACUUAUAGAUGGACCCGCGCCGUAUUAGCUAGUUGGUAAGGUAAUGGCUUACCAAGGCGACGAUACGUAGCCGACCUGAGAGGGUGAUCGGCCACACUGGAACUGAGACACGGUCCAGACUCCUACGGGAGGCAGCAGUAGGGAAUCUUCCGCAAUGGGCGAAAGCCUGACGGAGCAACGCCGCGUGAGUGAUGAAGGGUUUCGGCUCGUAAAACUCUGUUAUUAGGGAAGAACAUAUGUGUAAGUAACUGUGCACAUCUUGACGGUACCUAAUCAGAAAGCCACGGCUAACUACGUGCCAGCAGCCGCGGUAAUACGUAGGUGGCAAGCGUUAUCCGGAAUUAUUGGGCGUAAAGCGCGCGUAGGCGGUUUCUUAAGUCUGAUGUGAAAGCCCACGGCUCAACCGUGGAGGGUCAUUGGAAACUGGGAAACUUGAGUGCAGAAGAGGAAAGUGGAAUUCCAUGUGUAGCGGUGAAAUGCGCAGAGAUAUGGAGGAACACCAGUGGCGAAAGCGACUUUCUGGUCUGUAACUGACGCUGAUGUGCGAAAGCGUGGGGAUCAAACAGGAUUAGAUACCCUGGUAGUCCACGCCGUACACGAUGAGUGCUAAGUGUUAGGGGUUUCCGCCCCUU